CACGCCGUAAACGAUGAUCACUAGCUGUUGGCGAUAUACCGAUCAGCGGCAAAGCAAAAGCAUUAAGUGAUCCACCUGGGGAGUACGGCCGCAAGGCUGAAACUCAAAGGAAUUGACGGG
This 120-nucleotide ribosomal RNA is filed under the name uncultured bacterium. RNAcentral describes it as "partial 16S ribosomal RNA". It matches the Rfam family "Bacterial small subunit ribosomal RNA", at positions 796 to 917 of the family's 1533-position model. The record is from RNAcentral.